AGCAGCCGCGGUAAUUCCAGCUCCAAUAGCGUAUAUUAAAGUUGUUGCAGUUAAAAGCUCGUAGUUGAAUUUCGAGACCGGUUUAUUGGUCGUGCUUUUGUACGUACUGGUAUUAUUGGUUUCUCCUUUCUGGCGAAUCUUAAUGCCAUUAAUUUGGUGUUUUGGGGAAUCAGGACUGUUACUUUGAAAAAUUAGAGUGUUUAAAGCAGGCUCACGCUUGAAUACAUUAGCAUGGAAUAACGGAAUAGGACGUUUGAUUCUAUUUUGUUGGUUUCUAGGAUCGACGUAAUGAUUAAUAGGGAUAGUUGGGGCAUUAGUAUUCAAUUGUCAGAGGUGAAAUUCUUGGAUUUAUUGAAGACUAACUACUGCGAAAGCAUUUGCCAAGGAUGUUUUCAUUAAUCAAGAACGAAAGUUAGGGGAUCGAAGACGAUCAGAUACCGUCGUAGUCUUAACCAUAAACUAUGCCGACUAGGGAUCGGAUGAUGUUAAUUUUAAUGACUCAUUCGGCGCCUUACGGGAA
RNAcentral lists this unclassified non-coding RNA (520 nucleotides) under uncultured Glomus. RNAcentral's name for it is "SSU rRNA". It matches the Rfam family "Eukaryotic small subunit ribosomal RNA", at positions 569 to 1096 of the family's 1831-position model. Lineage: Eukaryota; Fungi; Glomeromycota; Glomeromycetes; Glomerales; Glomeraceae. The record is from RNAcentral.